This 498-nucleotide ribosomal RNA is filed under the name Bifidobacterium breve. RNAcentral describes it as "bacterial SSU rRNA". It matches the Rfam family "Bacterial small subunit ribosomal RNA", at positions 189 to 697 of the family's 1533-position model. The record is from RNAcentral. Lineage: Bacteria; Bacillati; Actinomycetota; Actinomycetes; Bifidobacteriales; Bifidobacteriaceae.
CAUGGUCUUCUGGGAAAGCCUUUGCGGCAUGGGAUGGGGUCGCGUCCUAUCAGCUUGAUGGCGGGGUAACGGCCCACCAUGGCUUCGACGGGUAGCCGGCCUGAGAGGGCGACCGGCCACAUUGGGACUGAGAUACGGCCCAGACUCCUACGGGAGGCAGCAGUGGGGAAUAUUGCACAAUGGGCGCAAGCCUGAUGCAGCGACGCCGCGUGAGGGAUGGAGGCCUUCGGGUUGUAAACCUCUUUUGUUAGGGAGCAAGGCAUUUUGUGUUGAGUGUACCUUUCGAAUAAGCACCGGCUAACUACGUGCCAGCAGCCGCGGUAAUACGUAGGGUGCAAGCGUUAUCCGGAAUUAUUGGGCGUAAAGGGCUCGUAGGCGGUUCGUCGCGUCCGGUGUGAAAGUCCAUCGCUUAACGGUGGAUCCGCGCCGGGUACGGGCGGGCUUGAGUGCGGUAGGGGAGACUGGAAUUCCCGGUGUAACGGUGGAAUGUGUAGAUAU